This 62-nucleotide transfer RNA is filed under the name Zoodes fulguratus. RNAcentral's name for it is "tRNA-Glu". Lineage: Eukaryota; Metazoa; Arthropoda; Insecta; Coleoptera; Cerambycidae. The record is from RNAcentral.
AUUUAUAUAGUUUAAAAAAACAUUACAUUUUCAUUGUAAAAUUAGAAAUUCUCUUAUAAAUA